AAGUCGUAACAAGGUUUCCGUAGGUGAACCUGCGGAAGGAUCAUUACCGUGCCCGCGGGGGCCGGCGGUCGUCCGGCCGUCGGUGCCCGCACAAGGCCCAUCCGUGUCUAUCUUACCUGUUGCUUCGGCGGGCGCCGUUCGCGAUGUCCGCCGAAGGUACCCUUAAACCCUGAUGUUAACGUGGCGGUCUCAGUCCACUGGAUAAUCAGUAAAACUUUCAACAACGGAUCUCUUGGUUCCAA
This 242-nucleotide unclassified non-coding RNA is filed under the name fungal sp. Its description in RNAcentral is "partial internal transcribed spacer region". The stretch from base 1 to 46 matches the Rfam family "Eukaryotic small subunit ribosomal RNA", at positions 1786 to 1831 of the family's 1831-position model. Lineage: Eukaryota; Fungi. The record is from RNAcentral.